Molecule: ribosomal RNA, 497 nt
Filed under: uncultured bacterium
Lineage: Bacteria
Description: partial 16S ribosomal RNA
Rfam family: Bacterial small subunit ribosomal RNA
Source: RNAcentral
GAUGAACGCUGGCGGCGUGCCUAAUACAUGCAAGUCGAGCGAAUAGACGAGGAUCUUGCUCCUCUUACGUUGGCGGCGGACGGGUGAGUAAUACGAAGAUACCCUAUAUAUAAGGCUGGGGUAACUUCGGGGAACCGAAUCUAAUACCGGUCAAUAUAUUGAAACGCAUGGUUCAUUAGUGAAAGAGCGUUUAGAUGACACUUAUUGAUGACACCUCGGCGCAUUAGCUAGUUGGUAAGGUAACGGCUUACCAAGGCGACGAUGCGUAGCCGAUCUGAGAGGUUGAUCGGCCACACUGGAACUGAGACACGGUCCAGACUCCUACGGGAGGCAGCAGUAGGGAAUCUUGCGCAAUGGGCGAAAGCCUGACGGAGCAACGCCGCGUGAGUGAAGAAGGUCUUCGGAUCGUAAAACUCUGUUAUUAGGGAAGAAGAAAAGUAUAAGAAUAUAUGCACGUCUUGACGGUACCUAAUCAGAAAGCCACGGCUAACUACGUG